GACAAACAGGUCAAAUUAAGAAUUGUCAGUGAUAGGGGGUUAAGAAAGUAAUUGUUUACGUAGUUGGAAGGGUACUUUUCUUAUAGAGGUGGAAUUUGUGUUAGAAGAGUGAUUUCUUGUAUUUCCUUAAAUUUCUGAUGCCCCGAAAUCUCAAUGAUAGACUGGGAUUAGAUACCCCAUUAUUUGAGAUGUAAAAUUUGAUUUUUUUUGAAAAAUUUACUUGAGUAUUACGAGUUAUAUUAAAAUAUUAAGAAUAUUUAGUGUAGAAUACUUAAAACUCAAAAGACUUGGCGGUAUUUUAAGUCCUUCCAGGGGAACCUGUCUCGUAAUCGAUAAUCCACGAUUUAUCUUUCCUUUUUUUGAAUUUAUGAAUUCAGCUUGUAUGCCGUCGUCGUCAGACUACCUUUGAGAGUUAGAUUUAAGUUGUCGGAAAGAACUGAAGUAUUGGGUGUUUUUAGAUUUAAAUAUUAAAGAACUAUCUAAAUUUUGUUCUGGACGUCAGAUCAAGGUGCAGCCUAUGAGAAGGUGAGGAUGGGUUACAAUAUUAAUUUGAUAUACGAAUCUUUUAUUGUAAAUACUAAAAUUGAAGGAGGACUUGGAAGUAAUUAUUGGAGAUUAGAAUGCUUCGGUGAAGAUGGCCCUAAAAUGUGC
RNAcentral lists this ribosomal RNA (651 nucleotides) under Tectus fenestratus. Its description in RNAcentral is "partial 12S ribosomal RNA". The stretch from base 261 to 651 matches the Rfam family "Bacterial small subunit ribosomal RNA", at positions 875 to 1384 of the family's 1533-position model. The record is from RNAcentral. Lineage: Eukaryota; Metazoa; Mollusca; Gastropoda; Trochida; Tegulidae.